Molecule: ribosomal RNA, 641 nt
Filed under: uncultured archaeon
Lineage: Archaea
Description: bacterial SSU rRNA
Rfam family: Archaeal small subunit ribosomal RNA
Source: RNAcentral
CCGACGGUGAGGGGUGAAGGCUGGGGGCGCAAACCGGAUUAGAUACCCGGGUAGUCCCAGCAGUAAACGAUGCCAGCUAUGUGUUGCUGGAACCAUGGGUUCCAGCAGUGCCGAAUGGAAGCCGUGAAGCUGGCCACCUGGGAAGUACGGUCGCAAGGCUGAAACUUAAAGGAAUUGGCGGGGGAGUACCACAACCGGUGGAGCCUGCGGUUUAAUUGGAUACAACGCCGGGAAUCUUACCGGAGGGGACAGCAGUAUGAAGGCCAGGCUAAAGACCUUGCCAGAUCAGCUGAGAGGAGGUGCAUGGCCGUCGCCAGUUCGUACCGUGAGGCAUCCUGUUUAGUCAGGCAACGAUCGAGACCCGCAGUCUUAUUUGCCAGCAUGCCCUUUGGGGUGUAUGGGUACAAUAAGACGACCGCCAGCGCUAAGCUGGAGGAAGGAGCGGGCUACGGUAGGUCAGCAUGCCCCGAAUCCUCCGGGAUACACGCGGGCUACAAUGGUCAGGACAAAAGGUACCGACCUCGAAAGAGUGAGGUAAUCCACAAACCUGAUCUCAGUCCGGAUCGAAGGCUGCAACUCGCCUUCGUGAAGAUGGAAUCGGUAGUAAUCGUGACUCAAAAUGUCACGGUGAAUAUGUCCCU